This 1164-nucleotide ribosomal RNA is filed under the name Salmonella enterica subsp. enterica serovar Enteritidis. RNAcentral describes it as "partial 23S ribosomal RNA". It matches the Rfam family "Bacterial large subunit ribosomal RNA", at positions 24 to 1230 of the family's 2925-position model. Lineage: Bacteria; Pseudomonadati; Pseudomonadota; Gammaproteobacteria; Enterobacterales; Enterobacteriaceae. The record is from RNAcentral.
GUGGAUGCCCUGGCAGUCAGAGGCGAUGAAGGGCGUGCUAAUCUGCGAUAAGCGCCGGUAAGGUGAUAUGAACCGUUAUAACCGGCGAUACCCGAAUGGGGAAACCCAGUGUGACUCGUCACACUAUCAUUAACUGAAUCCAUAGGUUAAUGAGGCGAACCGGGGGAACUGAAACAUCUAAGUACCCCGAGGAAAAGAAAUCAACCGAGAUUCCCCCAGUAGCGGCGAGCGAACGGGGAGGAGCCCAGAGCCUGAAUCAGCAUGUGUGUUAGUGGAAGCGUCUGGAAAGGCGCGCGAUACAGGGUGACAGCCCCGUACACAAAAGCGCAUGUGCUGUGAGCUCGAUGAGUAGGGCGGGACACGUGGUAUCCUGUCUGAAUAUGGGGGGACCAUCCUCCAAGGCUAAAUACUCCUGACUGACCGAUAGUGAACCAGUACCGUGAGGGAAAGGCGAAAAGAACCCCGGCGAGGGGAGUGAAAAAGAACCUGAAACCGUGUACGUACAAGCAGUGGGAGCACCCUUUGGGUGUGACUGCGUACCUUUUGUAUAAUGGGUCAGCGACUUAUAUUCUGUAGCAAGGUUAACCGAAUAGGGGAGCCGGAGGGAAACCGAGUCUUAAUUGGGCGUUAAGUUGCAGGGUAUAGACCCGAAACCCGGUGAUCUAGCCAUGGGCAGGUUGAAGGUUGGGUAACACUAACUGGAGGACCGAACCGACUAAUGUUGAAAAAUUAGCGGAUGACCUGUGGCUGGGGGUGAAAGGCCAAUCAAACCGGGAGAUAGCUGGUUCUCCCCGAAAGCUAUUUAGGUAGCGCCUCGUGAAUUCAUCUCCGGGGGUAGAGCACUGUUUCGGCUAGGGGGCCAUCCCGGCUUACCAACCCGAUGCAAACUGCGAAUACCGGAGAAUGUUAUCACGGGAGACACACGGCGGGUGCUAACGUCCGUCGUGAAGAGGGAAACAACCCAGACCGCCAGCUAAGGUCCCAAAGUCAUGGUUAAGUGGGAAACGAUGUGGGAAGGCCCAGACAGCCAGGAUGUUGGCUUAGAAGCAGCCAUCAUUUAAAGAAAGCGUAAUAGCUCACUGGUCGAGUCGGCCUGCGCGGAAGAUGUAACGGGGCUAAACCAUGCACCGAAGCUGCGGCAGCGACACUGUGUGUUGUUGGGUA